GAACGCUGGCGGCGUGCUUAACACAUGCAAGUCGAACGGUGAAACCAGAGCUUGCUCUGGUGGAUCAGUGGCGAACGGGUGAGUAACACGUGAGUAACCACCCGGACUUCGGGAUAACCCCGGGAAACCGGAGCUAAUACCGAAUACGAGGCGUACAGGCAUCUGUAGCGUCUGGAAAGAUUUAUCGGUCCGGGACGGACUCACGGCCUAUCAGCUUGUUGGUGAGGUAAAGGCUCACCAAGGCAACGACGGGUAGCCGGCCUGAGAGGGUGACCGGCCACACUGGGACUGAGAUACGGCCCAGACUCCUACGGGAGGCAGCAGUGGGGAAUAUUGCACAAUGGGCGCAAGCCUGAUGCCAGCGACGCCGCGUGAGGGAUGACGGCCUUCGGGUUGUAAACCUCUUUCAGUAGGGAAGAAGCGAGAGUGACGGUACCUGCAGAAGAAGCACCGGCUAACUACGUGCCAGCCGCAGC
This 476-nucleotide ribosomal RNA is filed under the name uncultured bacterium. RNAcentral describes it as "bacterial SSU rRNA". It matches the Rfam family "Bacterial small subunit ribosomal RNA", at positions 31 to 518 of the family's 1533-position model. The record is from RNAcentral.